GCAGGUAUAGUAUAAGGGCUAUUAUGUCGCGUUGCCAACGCGAAGAUACGGGUUCGAAUCCCGUUACUUGCUCCA
This 75-nucleotide transfer RNA is filed under the name bacterium. Its description in RNAcentral is "tRNA-Gly". It matches the Rfam family "tRNA". Rfam says of the family: Transfer RNA (tRNA) molecules are approximately 80 nucleotides in length. Their secondary structure includes four short double-helical elements and three loops (D, anti-codon, and T loops). RNAcentral also lists the same sequence under 3 other names. The record is from RNAcentral.